This 253-nucleotide ribosomal RNA is filed under the name uncultured bacterium. RNAcentral's name for it is "partial 16S ribosomal RNA". It matches the Rfam family "Bacterial small subunit ribosomal RNA", at positions 524 to 776 of the family's 1533-position model. The record is from RNAcentral.
GACGGAGGAUGCAAGUGUUAUCCGGAAUCACUGGGCGUAAAGCGUCUGUAGGUGGUCAAAUAAGUCAACUGUUAAAUCUUGAGGCUCUACCUCAAAAUCGCAGUCGAAACUAUUAGACUAGAGUAUAGUAGGGGUAAAGGGAAUUUCCAGUGGAGCGGUGAAAUGCGUAGAGAUUGGAAAGAACACCGAUGGCGAAGGCACUUUACUGGGCUAUUACUAACACUCAGAGACGAAAGCUAGGGUAGCAAAUGGG